This is a long non-coding RNA of Oreochromis aureus, 1684 nucleotides long. Lineage: Eukaryota; Metazoa; Chordata; Actinopteri; Cichliformes; Cichlidae. The record is from Ensembl.
CAAGAAAGAAAUGAGACAGAGAAGCACGAUGGAUGAAUUCAUAUGGAUUAAAAUGUUUUUAUGUCUGAUGCUGAUGAUUCAGAUUGCAGUAUCUGCAACUGAAACCUCAAUUUUUAUUAAAGCUGGAGAUGACGUCACUCUGCCUUGUCUAAAUGUAAUAGAUGACCAGAAGAACUGUGAUGGUACUACGUGGACCUUUGCUUCAAAAAACACAACAGCAAUAGAAGUGAUCACCUUUGGAGAGAUUGGUAAAAAAGCCCAAACUAAAUCAGACAGACUGAGUGUUACAGCGAACUGUUCUCUGGUUAUAAAGAAGCUCACGGAUGAGGAUGUUGGUUUUUAUUACUGUCAGCAGUACAAACUGGGAGAACGUAAACAUCUAGUUUCUGAGUUUUUGGUUGAUCUGGCUGUCAUCACAUUGACUGAAGAUAAGGACACUGAUGAAGUGACGUUAAACUGCUCUCUGCUGACCUUUGAGGACUGUCGCCACACAGUGAAAUGGCUGUUAAUUGGUUACAAUGUAGACAAGCAAACAGAAAGAUCACAGACUGACUGCUUCACCACUGUGUCUUUUCCAAAUUCUCACAAUUCAAACGUAUCAAGGGAUAAUAUAAUGAAGUGUCAAGGAACUCAUACUAACACAAGCAAAGUACUCUUUACCAUCAUCCAUCAGCCCUCUGUUGGGACAAACAAAACAAUGAAUCCAGCCAGAAAAACUGAAAGCAGCACAACCUCAGUAACAACCACAGCCGUGAAGGAUAUUUCACAAGAUUUUUCCGUCUCUUUGAGGUUCAUUAUUGUUUCGGUGGGUUUAGCAGCACUUUUAAUAACUGCUGUGACAGUCAACAUUAGGACAAGAACCAAAGGGAAUAAAACACGACGGAUAAAGCAAGGGGAACAAAACAGAGGACGAGGAUAAAAUCAAACCCCUAGUUGCCAGGUGGGGCAACAGGUUUACCAAUGCUGCUGAAGAUCAUCUCAACACAGACUCACAACAUCAUCUCCUUCUGCCUUUCCUCUUUCUCUCGCUCCGCUGUUUGUGUGUGGGACAGUAUGAGAGAUUCCUCUUCUGCUCCCCUGCUCCAUUUGGCUGGCACAUAUGUCUCAAAUCCCUAAUCAGAGCCUUUAAACAUUUGAUCAUAAAUUCAGUCCUCUCCAGAUUGUUCUGUUAGGUUUGUCUUUAGCAUCACUCAGUCUCAUCAAAAAAAAAAAAAAAACAAUUGUACUUUUCUUUGUGUUUCACUUGAUUUCUCCAGUCACUAAUUUUAAAUGUCCCGGGCCGUCUCCUCCAGACCAAAUACUUAGUCUUGGUAUCCCUGCCUGCUCUCUUUCUCCAUCACUCACCAAACCCAGAUGCAAGACCCAAUCCCCUCUCGCUUGCACAUUCUCCCUCAUUCCAGUGUUAAAGCCUGCUUCAGAGUCCACCUCUUUUACCAUAAUAAUUUUCAAUAUACAAUAUUUAAAAAAUGAAAUGUAGAUGUUAUUUUUUAAGCCAUUUUCUGAAAUGAAUGUGAAACCUUCCUGUAUUUAAAUUGGAAUAACACAACAGCAACCAUAGUUCAUAGUUGUAACAUCUACCUGUCAAAGUUUGAAUCCCUGACAGCUGUGAAAUCAUCACUCUGUGUUGUGUGGUUUGUAACAAUGUAUUUUGUUAUGGCUAAUGAUAAUAUAACUUGAUUUAUAA